Molecule: ribosomal RNA, 253 nt
Filed under: uncultured bacterium
Lineage: Bacteria
Description: partial 16S ribosomal RNA
Rfam family: Bacterial small subunit ribosomal RNA
Source: RNAcentral
CACGUAAGAGGCAAGCGUUAUUCGUCAUUAAUGGGUCUAAAGGGCUCGUAGGCGGCCAACUAAGUCGGAUGUGAAAUCCCCAGGCUUAACCUGGGAACUGCAUCCGAUACUGGAUGGCUUGAAUCCGGGAGAGGGAUGCAGAAUUCCAGGUGUAGCGGUGAAAUGCGUAGAUAUCUGGAGGAAUACCGGUGGCGAAGGCGGCAUCCUGGACCGGCAUUGACGCUGAUGAGCGAAAGCUAGGGGAGCAAACGGG